UACGAAGGGGGCUAGCGUUGCUCGGAAUCACUGGGCGUAAAGGGCGCGUAGGCGGCUUUUUAAGUCAGGGGUGAAAUCCUGGAGCUCAACUCCAGAACUGCCUUUGAUACUGGGGAUCUUGAGUUCGGGAGAGGUGAGUGGAACUGCGAGUGUAGAGGUGAAAUUCGUAGAUAUUCGCAAGAACACCAGUGGCGAAGGCGGCUCACUGGCCCGAUACUGACGCUGAGGCACGAAAGCGUGGGGAGCAAACAGG
This 253-nucleotide ribosomal RNA is filed under the name uncultured bacterium. RNAcentral's name for it is "partial 16S ribosomal RNA". It matches the Rfam family "Bacterial small subunit ribosomal RNA", at positions 524 to 776 of the family's 1533-position model. The record is from RNAcentral.